UGAGUAACACGUAUCCAACCUGCCGUCUACUCUUGGACAGCCUUCUGAAAGGAAGAUUAAUACAAGAUGGCAUCAUGAGUCCGCAUGUUCACAUGAUUAAAGGUAUUCCGGUAGACGAUGGGGAUGCGUUCCAUUAGAUAGUAGGCGGGGUAACGGCCCACCUAGUCUUCGAUGGAUAGGGGUUCUGAGAGGAAGGUCCCCCACAUUGGAACUGAGACACGGUCCAAACUCCUACGGAAGGCAGCAG
Molecule: ribosomal RNA, 247 nt
Filed under: uncultured bacterium
Lineage: Bacteria
Description: partial 16S ribosomal RNA
Rfam family: Bacterial small subunit ribosomal RNA
Source: RNAcentral